AUACGGAGGGUGCAAGCGUUGUCCGGAUUUAUUGGGUUUAAAGGGUACGUAGGUGGAUUCUUAAGUCCGUGGUGAAAGCCCGCAGCUCAACUGCGGAACUGCCAUGGAUACUGGGAAUCUUGAAUUCAGUUGAGGUUGGCGGAAUUUAUGGUGUAGCGGUGAAAUGCAUAGAUACCAUAAAGAACACCUAUUGCGAAGGCAGCUAACUGGACUUGAAUUGACACUGAGGUACGAAAGCGUGGGGAGCGAACAGGAUUAGAAACCCCAGUAGUCC
This 274-nucleotide ribosomal RNA is filed under the name uncultured bacterium. RNAcentral's name for it is "partial 16S ribosomal RNA". It matches the Rfam family "Bacterial small subunit ribosomal RNA", at positions 523 to 796 of the family's 1533-position model. The record is from RNAcentral.